AUUGAACGCUGGCGGCAUGCCUUACACAUGCAAGUCGAACGGCAGCACGGGAGCAAUCCUGGUGGCGAGUGGCGAACGGGUGAGUAAUAUAUCGGAACGUGCCCAGUCGUGGGGGAUAACGCAGCGAAAGCUGUGCUGAUACCGCAUACGAUCUAAGGAUGAAAGCGGGGGAUCGCAAGACCUCGCGCGAUUGGAGCGGCCGAUAUCAGAUUAGCUAGUUGGUGGGGUAAAGGCCCACCAAGGCGACGAUCUGUAGCGGGUCUGAGAGGACGACCAGCCACACUGGAACUGAGACACGGUCCAGACUCCUACGGGAGGCAGCAGUGGGGAAUUUUGGACAAUGGGCGCAAGCCUGAUCCAGCAAUGCCGCGUGCAGGAUGAAGGCCUUCGGGUUGUAAACUGCUUUUGUACGGAACGAAACGGCCCUUUCUAAUACAGGGGGCUAAUGACGGUACCGUAAGAAUAAGCACCGGCUAACUACGUGCCAGCAGCCGCCGUAA
This 500-nucleotide ribosomal RNA is filed under the name uncultured bacterium. RNAcentral's name for it is "partial 16S ribosomal RNA". It matches the Rfam family "Bacterial small subunit ribosomal RNA", at positions 30 to 523 of the family's 1533-position model. The record is from RNAcentral.